This is a long non-coding RNA of Oncorhynchus gorbuscha (pink salmon), 1840 nucleotides long. RefSeq lists it as uncharacterized. Lineage: Eukaryota; Metazoa; Chordata; Actinopteri; Salmoniformes; Salmonidae. The record is from RefSeq and is a predicted model, not a curated record. The transcript is spliced from 2 exons.
ACCCUCCCUCCCUCUCUCCAACCCUCCCCCCUCUCUCCCUCCAACUGUCCCUCCCUUUUAACUCCCUUCCCUCAAUCCAGUGUGGAAUCUGAGGUCAGGGGUCAUAUGCUUGUCACCAGGGUUCAGCCUAGAGGACUAUGGAAAGGGAAAGAUGAUGUCCCCUCAGAAACACAUUCCAUUCCAUUGAUUCCAUAGCUGGCCAUGCUGUCAUUGUGGUCUCAAACAUGAAUAGUAUAUUUCUAUGAUUUGGACCUCCUUGGGGUUAAAUCUGAACCAACAUUCAUGUACUGUAGUUUGGUGAUGGAUGCAGUAAAGUCUGUCAAAAGCGUAAAUGACAAAGAAAAUGUAAUGAAUGACUUCUACAGUAUGUUUGUAGAAAUAUUUCAGCCAAUGAAGUCAAAUACAUGCUUCUUUCUCAUUGAUCUUGACAUAUCCUGCCUGUAAUUAACUCACGUUGUAUCUGAAAUGACAAUAAAUCAAUGGUAACAUUGGUCAGCAGCAGGCUAGCAGCACAGAGGGCAGUGUAUUCAAACAAGUUCAUACCGGCUCUCCAGCAACCAAUCCUGGGGGAUGGUGGAUUACCCACCAUCCCCCAGGAUGGAAGGUUGGCGGUGGGCAUGGAUUACCCACCAUCCCCCAGGAUGGAAGGUUGGCGGUGGGCGUGGAUUACCCACCAUCCCCCAGGAUGGAAGGUUGGCGGUGGGCGUGGAUUACCCACCAUCCCCCAGGAUGGAAGGUUGGCGGUGGGCAUGGAUUACCCACCAUCCCCCAGGAUGGAAGGUUGGCGGUGGGCGUGGAUUACCCACCAUCCCCCAGGAUGGAAGGUUGGCGGUGGGCAUGGAUUACCCACCAUCCCCCAGGAUGGAAGGUUGGCGGUGGGCAUGGAUUACCCACCAUCCCCCAGGAUGGAAGGUUGGCGGUGGGCAUGGAUUACCCACCAUCCCCCAGGAUGGAAGGUUGGCGGUGGGCAUGGAUUACCCACCAUCCCCCAGGAUGGAAGGUUGGCGGUGGACAUGGAUUACCCACCAUCCCCCAGGAUGGAAGGUUGGCGGUGGGCAUGGAUCAUGACUGCAGCUUCAUUAGGUCUCCAGCUCCAUACUGCUGUGUGGAGCCAGAGAGAUGAGAGUCAGGCAGGGGAGAGUCACGGAGGGGAGGAGAGAGUGUUGUCUGCCUAGCUGCCAUGGAUGGAGCCCCAGGUGUAUCAGCCUGCCUGACAAUUAUGGAGGCAAUUAGGCCAGGUCACAUCUCCAGGCAACUGAAAAAUGAUCAUCAGUCAGCCAACCACUAAUUGGAUCAUUGUCUCUAAAGAAAAGAGAAAAAGAGGAGAGUCAGGGAAGUAGCGAAGCGCAUGCCCCGCCCACCUGAGGAUCUGUCUUUUUCAGCCAUCUACUGCCUGUGUUUGAGGGGUGUGAAAUCCACUUGUCACUUAAAUCUCGCUCGCUCGAUUGGUUUCAUUUUACUGCUGCGACUCUUUCAUACACUUGCUUGUGCCUUUUUCCCCCGAUAAAUUUAUGACCACGGAAAUGUUUGUAAUGACCCGGGUAACGGCUGUAAUGGGCUGAAUGGAAUACAUUGUCUUUCCGUUGCAUCUAUAAGAACACUAAAGCUGAGUGCAGGUGGGGUAGAGCAAGUGUUUGGUAGUUGCAGCCCUCUUCCACCCCUUUAUGUUAAUAUAUGCAAAUUCACCCAGUAUAUUUAUGCAAAUGGGGCACAUAUAUCAUUUUCUUUAUUUUAACACAAAAUGUUUAAAAAUAACUGAAACAAUAAUAAAAUGUAUGAGUGCAUUCUAAGAAAAAAAGAGAAAUUUGACAAUAAAGGGAAUACCUGAAUUCACACCAUU